RNAcentral lists this ribosomal RNA (1267 nucleotides) under uncultured fungus. RNAcentral describes it as "eukaryotic LSU rRNA". The stretch from base 600 to 1267 matches the Rfam family "Eukaryotic large subunit ribosomal RNA", at positions 1 to 648 of the family's 3401-position model. The record is from RNAcentral. Lineage: Eukaryota; Fungi.
AAGUCGUAACAAGGUUUCCGUAGGUGAACCUGCGGAAGGAUCAUUAUCGAAAUAAACCUGAGCAGGCUGUUUGCUGGUCCCUCUCCAGGGGACAUGUGCACGCUUGUCGUCUUUAUUUUUCCAACUGUGCACAUACUGUAGACCGGGAGUUUUUCUUAUCGUUCGAAUAGAUUGAGGACUGCCGCGUGCGGCUUUGCCUUGUAUUUUCCUGGUCUAUGUUGUAAUACAUUUUCACAACCUGUUUCAGAAUGUCGAGUACUGGGGAUAACAAAUAUACAACUUUCAGCAACGGAUCUCUUGGCUCUCGCAUCGAUGAAGAACGCAGCGAAAUGCGAUAAGUAAUGUGAAUUGCAGAAUUCAGUGAAUCAUCGAAUCUUUGAACGCAUCUUGCGCUCCUUGGUAUUCCGAGGAGCAUGCCUGUUCGAGUGUCAUCAAAAGUUCUCAACCACACCUGGUGUGGCUUGGAUUUGGGGGUGCAGGCUUUUGAGUCUGCUCCUCUGAAAAGGAUUAGUGGUAUCUAAGCAGAAACUACUGUCGGGCGUGAUAAUUAUCUAUGCCUCAGUGUGCAUGAACCGCUUCUAACCGAGUGUUGACAAGUUUGACCUCGAAUCAGGUAGGACUACCCGCUGAACUUAAGCAUAUCAAUAAGCGGAGGAAAAGAAACUAACAAGGAUUCCCCUAGUAACUGCGAGUGAAGCGGGAAAAGCUCAAAUUUAAAAUCUGGCGGUUUUUGACCGUCCGAGUUGUAAUCUAGAGAAGUGUUACCUGUGCUGGACCGUGUACAAGUCUCCUGGAAUGGAGCAUCAUAGAGGGUGAGAAUCCCGUCUUUGACAUGGACUGCCUGUACAUCGUGGUGCGCUCUCGAAGAGUCGAGUUGUUUGGGAAUGCAGCUCAAAACGGGUGGUAAAUGCCAUCUAAAGCUAAAUAUUGGCGAGAGACCGAUAGCGAACAAGUACCGUGAGGGAAAGAUGAAAAGAACUUUGGAAAGAGAGUUAAACAGUACGUGAAAUUGCUGAAAGGGAAACGCUUGAAGUCAGUCACGUUGGCUAGAAAUCAGCCUUGCUUUUGCUUGGCGUACUUUCUUGUUGACGGGUCAGCAUCAGUUUCGACCAUUGGAUAAGGACCUUGGGAACGUGGCAUCCUUGGAUGUGUUAUAGCCCAUUGUCGCAUACGGUGGUGGGGAUUGAGGAACUCAGCACGCCCGCAAGGGCCGGGUCUCUGGACCACGUUUCGUGCUUAGGAUGCUGGCAUAAUGGCUUUAAUCGAC